This 497-nucleotide ribosomal RNA is filed under the name uncultured bacterium. RNAcentral's name for it is "partial 16S ribosomal RNA". It matches the Rfam family "Bacterial small subunit ribosomal RNA", at positions 28 to 507 of the family's 1533-position model. The record is from RNAcentral.
GAUGAACGCUGGCGGCGUGCCUAAUACAUGCAAGUCGAGCGAACAGAUAAGGAGCUUGCUCCUUUGACGUUAGCGGCGGAAGGGUGAGUAACACGUGGAUAACCUACCUAUAAGACUGGGAUAACUUCGGGAAACCGGAGCUAAUACCGGAUAACAUAUUGAACCGCAUGGUUCAAUAGUGAAAGGCGGCUUUGCUGUCACUUCUAGAUGGAUCCGCGCCGUAUUAGCUAGUUGGUAAGGUAACGGCUUACCAAGGCAACGAUACGUAACCGACCUGAGAGGGUGAUCGGCCACACUGGAACAGAGACACGGUCCAGACUCCUACGGGAGGCAGCAGAAGGGAAUCUUCCGCAAUGGGCAAAAGCCUGACAGAACAACGCCGCGUGAGUGAUGAAGGUCUUCGGAUCGUAAAACACUGUUAUCAGGGAAGAACAAAUGUGUAAGUAACUGAGCACAUCUUGACGGUACCUGAUCAGAAAGCCACGGCUAACUACGUG